This 330-nucleotide unclassified non-coding RNA is filed under the name uncultured fungus. RNAcentral describes it as "partial contains 5.8S rRNA and ITS2". The record is from RNAcentral. Lineage: Eukaryota; Fungi.
AACGCAAGUUGCGGUCCUCGGUACACCGGGGACCACACCUUCUUGAGUAUCGAUUCUAUCUAAACUCGACGGCGUGCGUAAAAAACACGUGCAGUCGGAGAAUGAGAUUUCGAGUUGUACUUUUUUAGUGUGACUCGUGUCUUUAAAUGAUAGAUUGGUCUAUCAGUACUUGUUUCUGACUUGUUUUGGUUGGAAUAAGACUAAACAUGGAUAACAUCCAAUAUGUUUUUGGUCGUACCCUCAGAGCUAGUUGUUACAAGUUUGACCACACCUGGCAACUCAUGUUUGAAUAAUGAUCUCAAGUAAGGCGAGAGAACCCCCUGAACUUAA